Molecule: ribosomal RNA, 306 nt
Filed under: Triticum aestivum (bread wheat)
Lineage: Eukaryota; Viridiplantae; Streptophyta; Magnoliopsida; Poales; Poaceae
Description: partial small subunit ribosomal RNA
Source: RNAcentral
AUGUUCCCAGAUCUGCUUGUACAGAGCAAUAUGAUGGCUGAGCGCAUGGUUCGUGAGAGGCGCUUUGCUGCUAACUACCCAAUGUGGGCCUCCAACAGUCACAAGUACUCAUUUCCCCUGAGCUAUACAGAGAGCACUGAAACAGGAGAUGGGGAGACCAAAGUUGGUGAGGACAAGUGUGAUGAGAAUCCUGAAACCGAAGAUAAGUCCACUUGGACUGAAGAUGUGUAUGUUUGGAACGUGGAUGAUGAUCCUGAAUUGGAUGUGGAAGAUUGGGAGGAGAGAUGUGAGAAACGUAGUGCUUAG